Lutra lutra (Eurasian river otter) is the source of this 270-nucleotide long non-coding RNA. RefSeq lists it as uncharacterized. The record is from RefSeq and is a predicted model, not a curated record. The transcript is spliced from 3 exons. NCBI's taxonomy places the organism in Eukaryota, Metazoa, Chordata, Mammalia, Carnivora, Mustelidae.
GGAAGCAGUAAUUAAGAACAAAGAAGACAGCUAACUCCCAGUUAUGUAUGAUAUGAAUGAUAGGAAUGAGAGUGGGUGCAAGGAAAGAAGCAUGGCACAGCCUCUCUUCAUCAUCCCUGGAGAUGCAAUAAAAGCAUAGCAGACAGGAGGACCGCAGGUGGCCACUUGCCUAGUGCUCUGGUAAACAGAGCAGGUUUCCACUAGGGCCUUUCUUAACUCUGCCUGUUGGCAUUUCCGGGCUUCUUCAGCUCCAAUUCUGGGAUCUAUGAG